UCCAUGGAAAAAUAAUGAACGUUGGGAAGGCAGCCUUAAUAGGACCGUACAACAAUUGUUCAAAGAAAGGGUAUAUUUUGCCAAAUUUCCUUAGUAGUUAGUAUUUUUCAAAAUUUCGGUCAUCAUCUUUGGAGUUGGAUUUUAAAUUUUGACUACUGACCAUUCCUUUCACCAAUCAAAACCAAAGAGUUGGAAUGAGAAGAACGAUUUUUUAGGGCUAAAGUUAAAAUAUCAUCUGUUAAUUGGGUAUUUAAAAUUUAGUGGGUUAAUCAAUGUAUAUGGAAGGGCAAGAGCACAGUGAAGAGAUAAUUGUGUUUUCAUAUGAAGGAGGAUGCUGGUAUUAUUUAGAAUUUAUAGCUUUGUUAAUUGAUUUGUCACAGAAUUGUUGGUGGCGGUGAUCCUCACAACAAUAUAAAUUAAAAUUAACUCUUCUUUUCACCUUUUCGCUAAUAUUGCUGCUGCUGAUAAUAGAAUGUAAUGGCGGGAGAAGAUGAAGAAUAUGAAGAUGAGAUUCUUGAAGAGCAUCAAGGCAAUCCUUCAACUUCUAACACCCAAAAUUCUAUGAAUGCCAUAGAGGAAGUGCAGAAUUACAUAAAAGAUCAAGGCAAUUCUUCAAAUUCUAACACCCAAUGACCCAAGUAAGCCAAAUUUCAUUCUAUGAAUCUGCAGACACCAUUCAUAAAUAUAUACUUUUUGUUUCUUUUAACUCAAAUGGUCCACCUUUUCUUCAUUACUUGAGUAGGUGUAUGGUGCCGCCUAACUAGUUCAUGAUAUAUUGCAGAAGACAUUGUUUUAAAAUUUAUCUUCAUUUGAAAUCAGAUGGCUUUGAUUUCAUUCAUUAUGAUAUUAUUCUUCAAAGUGUAACAAAAGUAAAUUUUGAAUAUUUCUCCUUUUCACCUUCACUAUUAUUGUUUUUUAUCCAGUCAGUGUAGUAAAAAAUUCUAAAGAGGAUCACCUAAUCCUUCAACCGCCAUGAAACGAAGUGAAAAUUCUUUAUAUGCAUCUUGAGACAGUCUAGUUUUUGUUCAUCUAAUGCAACUGGUUUUUAUGUCCUUUGAAGGUGCUUUCUUCAUCACAAAUUCGGAAGUACAAAUUCUUAUUCCUUAAACAUUGUAUGUUCCAUUUGAUCAUCCAGUAAAUGGUCACAACUUCUUUCUUUAGGCUUUUAUGUUUAGCUAAUUAUAGCUUACCGUACAUUAAUUUGAUCAACCUUUGAAGUGAUAGCAUAUGUACCAGGUACUUCUGUUUUUUUAAUGAUUUGGGUAUUGUGAAGUUAAGGAGGAUAACAUUCUGAAGUCAGGGAACAAGGAAAAUUUUCUUGAAGUAUCAAAAUGACAAGAUUUUUGAAGUUGAGGAUUACAUACUUAUUUUGAACUAGAGGAUGAGGAAACUUUUGAAAUGAUGAAUUUCAAGGAUUGCAAAGCUGAGGAUAUAAAGAAUUUUCCAAAGAAGAUCAACGAAACCCUUGUUUAAUUCUUCAUUUUUUAAUAAUGUAGUGAUUUUGCAACAUAGACCCAAUACCAAAUUCUGGAGGAUGGCUGUCACAUGGUCUGCACUGUGCCUACAACAGCUCAUGGAGGGGCAGUUUAUCCAUCCUGUUUAGAACAUGUUCCAUUUUACUCACAACCUUGUGCUGAAUUCCGUUCUGCCUCAGGUUAUUUCUGGUGGCCCUACUAUUUUGGUGGCACUAUUCAGAAGUAUGAUUAAUUUGAUAUUUUCAUAGUAAACAAGGUUGGUCAUGUUGGAGUAAAUAAUUCCUGUAUGAAAUGUAAGAUUGAAAUAUUUUUUAUCAUCAAUGUAGCGGUACACUGGUAGGGGAAAUUAGGUAGCGCAAAUGCCCCUCACAGUUUUCUCAUACGGUGAGGGCUUAAGGCCAAUCAAUCCCAAGGAUAUUGAGUGGAAGAAUGGCAAGAAUCCAAUCUCCAUGGAAGGUGUCCUAAUAUUUCCCUCAUGUCAAGUUAAGAAGCUGGUCCUUGUCGAACUUCUGCAAGGCUUACCGAUUUCAUUCUGUUGAUUGAAAAUACAUACAAAUUGAACACCUGUAGCAACGAUCUUGGUCAUUAGAAAUACACUAUUGAUCAAAGAGUUUCAAAAGCUGAUAGUUUAUAAGUAAUACAAACUUUA
Durio zibethinus is the source of this 2124-nucleotide non-coding RNA. The record is from RefSeq and is a predicted model, not a curated record. Lineage: Eukaryota; Viridiplantae; Streptophyta; Magnoliopsida; Malvales; Malvaceae.